Long non-coding RNA from Wyeomyia smithii (pitcher-plant mosquito), 6325 nucleotides. RefSeq lists it as uncharacterized. The transcript is spliced from 4 exons. NCBI's taxonomy places the organism in Eukaryota, Metazoa, Arthropoda, Insecta, Diptera, Culicidae. The record is from RefSeq and is a predicted model, not a curated record.
CUUCAGCAGUAUUUUUAGUACUUGUUUACAUACACGUUGGACGAAAUCGUUGUCAUAAGUAAAAACAGCCGAAGACAAAUUGUCUAUAAAAGAAAAAAAGAAAGAAUUGCAAGGUAUUUUAUUGGAAAAGUUCAAGGUCGAUAUACCUAAACAGGGAGGAGGUGGAUCAUCUACCACUAGGUCGAUGUGCCAUAAACUUCUAUUGGAGCCAGAGAAGUUUGCAUUGGCACUCGGUCUAAGCGAAAAAUUGGUAAAAACCUAGCUGCUGUAAUAGUAAUAAUAAACAGCCUAGAUCAAGUGAACAAUUCCACAGAAAAAUUUUCAGCUUUAUUAUUUUUUUUAAUUAUUAUUUUUGAGACAUUGCACUGGUGUUCCUGUAAGCUAAAGAUAACAAUUUGUGCAUUCGAGUGUCUAUGAAUGAUCAAAAAUGUUUCUAGCAUUUAAACGGUUUGAUUGAUCGGUAUAGUAUCUCCAGCAAAGUUGUAGAUAAUAAUUUUGUCCUUCAAAAAUAAAGUAUUUUUUUUAGAUAUUCAAUUUAUAAAUUUUUUGGAUUUCUUUUUGAUGACUCAAACAAAAUCUUAUAGCAAGAAAUGGUACUUUUAGUCUAUUGGAAAACCCGUGCAAACUUUCAGCCAGUUAAAAAAUAAUCGAUGGUUAAUAUAAAUGGUUAAUAAAUGGUUGCCCAUUUUUUGUGGAAUUACACAAAUAGAUAUAGCGGACUUCGAUAAGCUUUUUGACGUGAUAUUCAAUAUGUAUACGGGUAUACGGGUGGUAUCCCAUGCCUGCGACACUUCAUAAAAUUUUAGCACAUUCUACCAGGACAGGAUCAUGGCAAGUCUACCCCUUUCAACGGGAUUUAUGGGUAAAUAAGGCUCUGAAGGUAGAAACAAAUAUUAUCGGAACGAUCUCCAAUUUCACGCUCGCUAAAAUUCUAGAGCUGCGAAUUCUACGGAUGUUUUUUAUCGUACUAUGGAUUCUUCAGAUCCCAUUCUUGCAACUAGAUUUGCCAGAAAAAGAGCAGAUAUUCAAAGGUCUACGAUUGAGUGGAGAGAGUACUUGGAUUAAUAUGCAAACAAUUUAGGUUCAUGAAUAAUUGAAUAUGUAGAGAACCCUAUAAAAAUGCUAUUUUUCAAUUUUAAAACAACGAUAAUUUAUUUUCAACGAUCAUUGGAAACAAUUUAUUGACUUCAAAAUAAGCGCUUUUUCAUGCCCCAAAAGUCACUCGAACGAAUUUUCCAAAUAAAAAUCGAGAUUUUUGUCGUGAAAUUUCACGAUUCCGACCAUAGUGCAAUGAAGCAAAAUCACCAUGUUAUGUGGUUCACUUUUCGUAAGUCUUAUAAGAGAAAAAAAUCCUUUGUGCAUUGUUUGGCUAGCUUUCACUACUCAGCGAGGCAGUGCAUAGUAGAUUACAAACAAUACUUUGUGACCGAGCGUUAUAUAGACUAUCUUACAAACUGACAGGUGUCACGGAUCCUGCUGACAUUGAUGUUGCUUUUACUUGCGUUAUGUCAGCGGUUCCGAGCUUUCUGUCAAAAUUUCAUUCAUGAAUUGAGUUCAGAAACGUCUCGUAAAAUGAUCUAUUGUAGUGAUGAACUUUAUCUUCACCUACAUGUUAGUUAUGUAAAGUAGUUACUAAAACGCAAUAAAUUAUGAUGCGGAAAUAUGAAUAUCAAAUUGAUUAAUCGAAUAGCUUGUCUAUUUUAGUUUUCUGCUAUUUUUGCCACUAUUUCAUUUAAAAAAUACAUAUCGACAUCAUUGAAAACAGAAAUGGUAGUGACGGACCCCCCUCUAAAUUUUGGCAUGUGUCAAGUGUUGCAGUUAUCGAACGGCAUUCGAUAACUGCAGUGUAAACAUGUUGCAGUUAUCGAACGACGACUGUAUUUAUCACAACAAUGCCAUGAUAUAUAAAAUGAAAGUCGUGGGACAAUUAUGUCUAACAUGUUAUGAUAGUAAUAACGCUACGCUAUUGCUAAUUGUUUUGACCUGGGAGGGAGAAACGGAUACGAAGCUGUGUGAGUGUCAAAAUGAACCAGAAUGAGCUGUCACUGACUGUCAAUUUGAACCAAGCGAAAAAAGGGUUUUUUUUUGUAAAGAGUAUUGUUAUAACUGAACGGUAACGCGUUGCUUAAAAAAAUAUUCAUCGCAAACAGUUUUUGUAUUCAUUGUCGUUUUACAAAACAUUUUGGUUUAUUUUUAUGUAAAAUAAAAAUUUCAUAAGCUUUAAGGAAUAAUCAUGUUAGCGAAAAUCGAUUAUUGAACUUGCGUUUUUUCUGGAUUUAAGGCUUUUGUUACUAUUUCGAACACAAUUCAUCACGGCCGAAUGACUAUUCUCGUUUCACAAAAUAGUGAGAUGUAGGAUUGUUAAAUUUUUGAAACUGCAUGAAACCAUGAAAAAACCCUACCUUACAGGUUACGCUCUCGUACAUAUUUCCAGAAUGUCUGCGCAAAUAUAUAUGAACUCGAAACUCUAAAGAAAUUUUUAUACAACGGCAAAUUGAAAAAAAAAACGCAGAUGCGAAAAAUUUGCACAUUCAGCGUUUCUGAUAUUAAUAAAAACUUCGUUUGAGUCAUGCAUGCGUUACAGCAAGACGAUUGCUACACGCUAUCAAAAAACGACGCAUGUCCGUGUUCUCUGUUUUGAGUGUAGUAUUUGUUUCUCUCUCCCAGCUCAAACCGUAAAGUCGGCUUAUUCCCGAAUUUACACGAUGAAAUGAGAGGUUAUUUCUGGAGCUAACAGAAGUAGAAUGAAUGCCAACAAAACCUUGCGAUAUGCUUUGUUAAACUUUUUUUUAAUAUGGCAUUUGAAUAAUUCAAUAACCAAGGGAUCGAAUGUAGUAUAAAACCAAAUAAAAUCUAUAUUUCAUUAUCUUUAUUUUAAAUCUGAAUUAUCAUCAUCUAAGCACUUGUCGAGCAUAUUAGUAAUUGCACUCAAUGCAUUUUCAAAGAAUGCAUUUUUUUCCUGUGGCUCUGGUAUGAGCAAAAAAAAAACCUCAUGAAAAUCAAUGUUUGAGAAUUGAUUGAUUUAUUAUUAGUAACAAAUAUUCAUGACGUUCUCGUACGUUCAUCAAUGCUUCAUCUUCACUAACUUGUAUUAGCUCAAGCUUAAAAAAAGCAAAGCCUUGGUGCUACAUUCCGAUUCGGAACUCAACCUUCUGUUUAUUAUAUACAGACUGUUUGUAUUAGCUGAAGCUUAUUUUGCCUACAUAACGUAGAAAAGUGAGCGAAAAACGAUUUUAUUUGUUCUACCGAUGAAUACAUUUCCGGUUUGAAUUGCCUAAUUCCUACAGAAGGGUGUACUUUUGACAUCAUUCGUUUAUGAGCAUCUUCCGGUGAAACUUUUUUUCUUAUGGUAAUUUAAUUCUUUAAAGGGCACAUUAAAAAAAGGCUCAACAAAAAGUACAUAUUGCGUAGCUUUGUUGACAUUCGUUCAUUCUCUUGCUGGCUCCAAAAAUGACCUCUCAUUCCAUCGUGUAACUCCGAAAGUAAGUCGAGAGUAAUUAUUUUACGAUUUGAGCAGUUUCUAAAUAUAAGAUUUUGAAGAGCCUGUUCACCCACCGACCACUUUUCUUUUCAAAUUCUGCAAACGAUUGUAUUAGUGCAUAAACAAACAUAACCUGAAAAUUAUAGCUCAAUGGAAGAACAAUGACGCAAAACGGAGUUACGCUUCUCGCACAAUGGUUCGAAAUGAUGGUCAAUAACAUGUAAUAGAAAAAAAUGAAUUUCCUCAGGCAUCUUUAUAACGGCGCAUUUUUUGAAUAAAUCUAAUGAAGGCUCUUGAGUUGCACUACAAAACUUAUUAUUUGGAUUUUGAUCCUAGAUCUGUUGGUAAGAAUAAACUGCUGUGAAAAUCACCUUCUUUUCUUAGAAAAAUGCGAAUAUCUCAUCAUGUAUUCUCGAUAGCAACUUUCAAUAACCCUCAUUUUGUUGCCUUUAUAGAGUAGAAUAAACAUGCCUAUUUUCAUGAAAAUCGAUUCAGUUUUCACAAAGUUAUAACAAUUUUACGUUUUUGGCAAUUUUUGGAUAUCAAUUUUUGACAUGCUUUUUUACCCCCUUUUCAAAAAAGCUGACAUUAUGCAAAACAUCGUUCUAUUAAAUAGAUAAACAAACCACGAAAGUUUCAGUCCGAUCGGAGAACCUCGAUACAUACGAUACAACCUUGUCAAGGUGGUUGCGGUUCUCGCGAACUGGCUCUUAAAACAGACCGAUGUCAUGACAACAGUUUCCUGAAGCCGCCGCCGAUGAGGAUGGCGCUACUGUUGGAAAUAUGGUCAUAAGCACCGUUCAUUGUGCCGCAUGUGUUACUGUACGGAUUUUUAGCGUGCUUCUAACUAUAUUGAAUGUAGGGCUAUCCGGAACGUGUUGAAACAUGUUUGAACGUGACCAUUUAUGUUCUGCACAAAAUACAUAAAACGUUCAAAACAAUCAAACAAUCGUUUUUCGCUUUCUGCAUUUCUUCACACCACUUGCAGCAACAGUUGAUCUCGCAUGGACGGUGCUUAAUCGGCUGUUUCGCAAGCACUGACAGCCUUUUGACGUAUAAUCGAGCCAGAGAGCCAGAGAAAAACGGCUUCAAGCGAAAUGUAUGGGGAUGACGUUCGUGACAGGGAUGUGUCUUAAAACUACACAUUUUAAUCCAACAUUAAACCUGUACACUGGUUCAGUUAAAUUUAACAAAGCAUCACCGGUGUAAUCUUUCAAAACUGUGUACCUUGUGAAGAAUUUCGAAAAAUGAUAUUCUUUAUGCCAUGCUGAAAAACAGAACUUUAUUGUUCUUGGCAACAAACGACACAAAAACUGUGUUGCCGAAACGAUAGAUUUUCUCUUUACACGACUCUACAUAGACUCUAAGGGGCGACAUCUGGGGUGGCAUUGCGCAGCUCGAUUCGAACGAUUUUCGCUAUUUUUGAGUAGGUCACAUACUGCCAGUUAUGCUUUAAGCACAGACUAACAGACGUAACACUGGAGCCUCGCUCUAUCGCCAACAAAAACGGUCAAUUUGAAUCUCAAGUCGAGUAAGAACCGCCACGCGAAGAUGAUGCUCGGGGCGCUGGUGUGCAUUUUUUAAGUAACGAUUUUCUAUAUUCCACUGGAAGCGUGCCAACCUAACUAGAAAUAAAACGAUAUUGCGAUUUACGAUACAGGUAAGAAAGAGAUGCCAGAUAAUUUUUUACGAACUAAGCGUAUGUGUUGGUGUGCUGAAACAGACAAAAUUUACAGUGCUCUUUGGAGGUGCAACCCGGUCAAUAAUGGGUCAAAACCAAUCAAAAAAAGAAAGGUUUUGAUAGCAGAUAGGCUGGAUCUAGGUUAAAACUAAGUGGGAUCCAAGAAUAAAGAAAUCCCGAUCUCCCGAGUGUUUAUAUGUAAACAAAUAACACCAGAAGGAAGUCCAUCAUGGGUAGAAAAUGUGAAUACUAUUGCUGUAAAAACAACGAUUCACUACAACGGAACAAAGUUUAUCACGGUUUUCCUCAUGAUAAAGAAAGGAGUGCUCUAUGGGUACAGCUUUGUAACUCGAAACAAUUAACCGAGAGGUUCGCAAGUGGAGUAGUAGAAUCUAUCAAAAAGUUGAAAGUUUGUUCGGAUCACUUUACUCCAGCAUGUUACCGAAAUACUUCUCUUCUAAAGAAAAAACUGCAGGACACUGCAAUUCCAUCUCGAUCGACUGAAUCUAAUUACAAUUGGAUGAGGCUGGAAGCGUUAGACAAUAUAUUAGACAACGAAGGAAUGAAGUUAUCUGGACAGAUAGACCUCGAUAGAACACCGUUGUUGAAGGAAAGUGGAGAGCGAUCUUGCAUAUCUGUGUCAGAUCUAGAAGAAGCGUAUUAAAACCGGAAGAUUGGUGAAGAGUGCCGCUCAGAUAAUCUGCAUGCAGAGACACUUGACUUUCAUUAUUGCAAAAUUAAGGAAGAAAACUUUGACGUACCUUUUUCCACAUACCGAACCAUUAAGCUUGAGAUAGAGCAAGCGGAGAAUGAUACUAAAUAUGACACGAAGUGGUUCCACUACAGUAAGACUAAAGACAGUCUAAAUAACUGGAAUCUCGAAAAUACACUAGAACGCGUUGAAAAGAACAACAACGAUCUGGAGACAGAUUUGAAAAUAAAUUACAAAGCAAUGUAUCAUGGACAACUUCAGCGUAACACCAAGCUUCGAGAAGAACUGCGUAGCGUUAAAAAUUCUUUGCAACAUUCGAAACGCAAGAGCAACUGGAGGAUGAAAUCUUUAAAACUUAAAACAACGAAAAUAGCUAUUUUGAAACAUGAGCUCCGUCGACUAAAGAAAUUAAAACAGCGAAAUGAACAACUCGGAGAAGAAAUAAAACAUA